CCCAACUAUCCCUAUUAAUCAUUACGUCAAUCCUAGAAACCAACAAAAUAGGAUCGAUCGUCCUAUUUCAUUAUUCCAUGCUAAUGUAUUCAAGCGUUAGCCUGCUUUAAACACUCUAAUUUUUUCAAAGUAACAGUCCAGAUUCCCCGCAACACCAAAUUAAUGGCAUUACGGUUCAUCAGGAAGGAGGAAUCAGUGAGACCAGUGCAUACCUGUGGCACGACCAGCCUACUGACCCCGAAAUUCAACUA
RNAcentral lists this ribosomal RNA (251 nucleotides) under uncultured Glomus. RNAcentral's name for it is "partial 18S ribosomal RNA". Lineage: Eukaryota; Fungi; Glomeromycota; Glomeromycetes; Glomerales; Glomeraceae. The record is from RNAcentral.